CCUACGGGAGGCAGCAGUGAGGAAUAUUGGUCAAUGGGCGUAAGCCUGAACCAGCCAAGUCGCGUGAGGGAUGAAGGUUCUAUGGAUCGUAAACCUCUUUUAUAAGGGAAUAAAGUGCGGGACGUGUCCCGUUUUGUAUGUACCUUAUGAAUAAGGAUCGGCUAACUCCGUGCCAGCAGCCGCGGUAAUACGGAGGAUCCGAGCGUUAUCCGGAUUUAUUGGGUUUAAAGGGUGCGUAGGCGGCUUUUUAAGUCAGCAGUGAAAGUUUGGGGCUCAACCAUAGAAUUGCCGUUGAUACUGGAAGUCGUGAGUACAUUUGAGGCAGGCGGAAUUCGUGGUGUAGCGGUGAAAAGCUUAGAUAUCACGAAGAA
This 371-nucleotide ribosomal RNA is filed under the name uncultured bacterium. RNAcentral describes it as "partial 16S ribosomal RNA". It matches the Rfam family "Bacterial small subunit ribosomal RNA", at positions 338 to 706 of the family's 1533-position model. The record is from RNAcentral.